This 430-nucleotide ribosomal RNA is filed under the name uncultured bacterium. RNAcentral's name for it is "bacterial SSU rRNA". It matches the Rfam family "Bacterial small subunit ribosomal RNA", at positions 96 to 524 of the family's 1533-position model. The record is from RNAcentral.
CGGCGCACGGGUGAGUAACGCGUAUACAAUUUGCCUUUUACAGGAGGAUAGCCCAGAGAAAUUUGGAUUAAUACUCCAUGGUAUUACGAGAUCGCAUGGUUUUGUAAUUAAAGUUUCGGCGGUAGAAGAUGAGUAUGCGUCCUAUUAGCUAGUUGGUAAGGUAACGGCUUACCAAGGCGACGAUAGGUAGGGGUCCUGAGAGGGAGAUCCCCCACACUGGUACUGAGACACGGACCAGACUCCUACGGGAGGCAGCAGUGAGGAAUAUUGGUCAAUGGAGGCAACUCUGAACCAGCCAUGCCGCGUGCAGGAAGACUGCCCUAUGGGUUGUAAACUGCUUUUAUACAGGAAGAAACUUACCCACGUGUGGGUAACUGACGGUACUGUACGAAUAAGGACCGGCUAACUCCGUGCCAGCAGCCGCGGUAAU